GAUGAACGCUCGCGAUAGGCCUAACACAUGCAAGUCGAGGGGCAGCACAAGGUAGCUUGCUAUCUGGGUGGCGACCGGCGCACGGGUGCGUAACGCGUAUGCAACUUGCCCUAUACAGGAGGAUAACCCGUCGAAAGACGGACUAAUACUGCGUAUGCUCACAACUUGGCAUCAAGUGGUGAGGAAAGAAAUUCGGUAUAGGAUAGGCAUGCGUCCCAUUAGCUUGUUGGUGAGGUAACGGCUCACCAAGGCAACGAUGGGUAGGGGAUCUGAGAGGUUUAUCCCCCACACUGGUACUGAGACACGGACCAGACUCCUACGGGAGGCAGCAGUGAGGAAUAUUGGUCAAUGGGCGCGAGCCUGAACCAGCCAAGUCGCGUGAAGGAUGACUGUCUUAUGGAUUGUAAACUUCUUUUAUACGGGAAUAACAAGAGUCACGUGUGACUCCCUGCAUGUACCGUAUGAAUAAGCAUCGGCUAACUCCGUG
RNAcentral lists this ribosomal RNA (487 nucleotides) under uncultured bacterium. RNAcentral describes it as "partial 16S ribosomal RNA". It matches the Rfam family "Bacterial small subunit ribosomal RNA", at positions 28 to 507 of the family's 1533-position model. The record is from RNAcentral.